UCCAAAUACUAUGUAUUUAUGACAAGCAUUGCCAAUCCAACUUUCUUAUUGCAGAUUUUAGGUGUAAUCAUAUUGAGAUCAUUGCAAAAUGAUUUUGGAAAUCAUAUCGAGAUCAUCUCAAGAUUAGGCAUGGUGUUCCUUCGUCUAUAAAACCGACCUGGUAUAAAAUAGUUUGAAAAUAUUUUUGAUAAGAACCAUGGCCAAAAUACCCUAAAUUUUAUCUGGGAGGUACAGGGCUUCUUUAUUUUCUUUUCACAUUAUUUUGAAUCUCUCCUUACUUUGUAAUUGUCCUUUAUGUACUUAGCUUUUAUGGAUACGUAACUCUUAGCUUUUUGAUUUUUUGUAUGUUAUUUAGUAAUAAGUUUUUCCUGUGAUCUACUUUGUUCUUCAUUAAAUUAUCUUGAUUAUUCUUGGGUUCAUGUGAUUGUAGUUAUCAAACAGUUUGUAUAAAAAACUUAUCAAAUAGUUUGCUUCUUUUGAUUAGAAGAGAAAUUUUGUUUUAUUUGUUAUUUUGAUUGCUUAAGAUAUUCAAUCAUUAAAUUUUAGAAGAGAACUUUUGUUUUAUUUGUGGCUUUUGUUUUAUUUGUGAGUUUAGAACCAUUUUACUUGGUUGCCUUUCGACUGAUCGAUUAGCUAUCAUUUCGCUUUUGUCCCAGUCCUUUAAUGCAUUGUGAUUUUCCCAAUAUUACUUGAUUUUCUUGAUUUCUUUAUGCUCCUGUUCAUUUUCUUCCUCUUCUUGAGCAAAGUGUGAAAAUAUUGCCUUGGAACAAGCAUGUGGGAUUGCAUGCUUUUUGCAUAUUUCCAUACUUCUUUUUUCGACAGUGAUGACUCAGAGGGUAAAAGAAAAAAGAGGCGAGGCCGGUCUACAUACUCAACUCAUUUGCUCUUAGGCCAAAAAUGAAUGAGAAGGAAUAGGCUUCAUUCUAGUGCAUUACACUCGGGCGCUUAUUGAUGGGACCAAGUUCGACUCAACCUGGAAUCGUGGGACGCCCUCAGCCUCUGUUUGGUUGGGGGUUAAGGGGUGGAAUAACCCCUUAACCCCCAUGAUGACAAUGAGCUUCAAGUUGCACUUUGUUCCAGUUGAAAUUAAGAUGAAUUGGUAGACAAGUGAGCUAAUUAUUGAAGAAAGUGGGAAAUUCAGAUUUUGGUGGAUAUUUUCUAACGAUGAAUUGGUAGGCAAGUGAGUUAAUUAUUGAAGAGAGUGUGAAAUUCAUAUUUGGAUGGAUAUUUUCUAAUGUCUUCAUCUAUUUUUUCCCUAAUUGAGUUGUAGGCAUAAAAUUGAUUUCA
RNA transcript from Ananas comosus (pineapple), 1287 nucleotides. It is a transcript of the gene named proteasome activator subunit 4-like, with no coding region annotated. NCBI's taxonomy places the organism in Eukaryota, Viridiplantae, Streptophyta, Magnoliopsida, Poales, Bromeliaceae. The transcript has 2 exons. The record is from RefSeq and is a predicted model, not a curated record.